UACGUAGGAGACGAGCGUUGUCCGGAAUUACUGGGCGUAAAGGGUGCGCAGGCGGCCCUGCGCGUCGCGAGUGAAAUCUCCCGGCUCAACUGGGAGGGUGGUCGCGAGACGGCAGGGCUUGAGGCUCGGUGAGGGGCGUGGAAUUCCGGGUGGAGCGGUGAAAUGCGUAGAGACCCGGAGGAACACCAGUGGCGAAGGCGGCGUCCUGGCCUGCGACUGACGCUGUGGCGCGAAAGCUAGGGGAGCGAACGGG
This 253-nucleotide ribosomal RNA is filed under the name uncultured bacterium. RNAcentral's name for it is "partial 16S ribosomal RNA". It matches the Rfam family "Bacterial small subunit ribosomal RNA", at positions 524 to 776 of the family's 1533-position model. The record is from RNAcentral.